GACGAACGCUGGCGGCGCGCCUAACACAUGCAAGUCGAACGAGCGAGAGAGAGCUUGCUUUCUCAAGCGAGUGGCGAACGGGUGAGUAACGCGUGAGGAACCUGCCUCAAAGAGGGGGACAACAGUUGGAAACGACUGCUAAUACCGCAUAAGCCCACAGGUCGGCAUCGACCAGAGGGAAAAGGAGCAAUCCGCUUUGAGAUGGCCUCGCGUCCGAUUAGCCAGUUGGUGAGGUAACGGCCCACCAAGGCAACGAUCGGUAGCCGGACUGAGAGGUUGAACGGCCACAUUGGGACUGAGACACGGCCCAGACUCCUACGGGAGGCAGCAGUGGGGAAUAUUGCACAAUGGGGGAAACCCUGAUGCAGCGACGCCGCGUGGAGGAAGAAGGUCUUCGGAUUGUAAACUCCUGUUGUUGAGGAAGAUAAUGACGGUACUCAACAAGGAAGUGACGGCUAACUACGUG
This 466-nucleotide ribosomal RNA is filed under the name uncultured bacterium. Its description in RNAcentral is "partial 16S ribosomal RNA". It matches the Rfam family "Bacterial small subunit ribosomal RNA", at positions 28 to 507 of the family's 1533-position model. The record is from RNAcentral.